GGGGAUGUAGCUCAGUGGUAGAGCACUUGUUUAGCAUGAAAAAGACCCUGGGUUCAAUCCCCAGUAUUGCAA
Molecule: transfer RNA, 72 nt
Filed under: Marmota monax (woodchuck)
Lineage: Eukaryota; Metazoa; Chordata; Mammalia; Rodentia; Sciuridae
Also listed under: 2 other names
Rfam family: tRNA
About the family: Transfer RNA (tRNA) molecules are approximately 80 nucleotides in length.
Source: Rfam by way of RNAcentral